This 435-nucleotide ribosomal RNA is filed under the name Aggregatibacter sp. oral taxon 512. Its description in RNAcentral is "bacterial SSU rRNA". It matches the Rfam family "Bacterial small subunit ribosomal RNA", at positions 30 to 459 of the family's 1533-position model. The record is from RNAcentral. Lineage: Bacteria; Pseudomonadati; Pseudomonadota; Gammaproteobacteria; Pasteurellales; Pasteurellaceae.
AUUGAACGCUGGCGGCAGGCUUAACACAUGCAAGUCGAACGGUAACAGGGGAAAGCUUGCUUUCUUGCUGACGAGUGGCGGACGGGUGAGUAAUGCUUGGGAAUCUGGCUUAUGGAGGGGGAUAACGACGGGAAACUGUCGCUAAUACCGCGUAGAAUCGAGAGAUGAAAGUGCGGGACCGCAAGACCGCAUGCCAUAGGAUGAGCCCAAGUGGGAUUAGGUAGUUGGUGGGGUAAAGGCCUACCAAGCCGACGAUCUCUAGCUGGUCUGAGAGGAUGACCAGCCACACCGGGACUGAGACACGGCCCGGACUCCUACGGGAGGCAGCAGUGGGGAAUAUUGCGCAAUGGGGGCAACCCUGACGCAGCCAUGCCGCGUGAAUGAAGAAGGCCUUCGGGUUGUAAAGUUCUUUCGGUGACGAGGAAGGUUGUUGUG